UCUGUAGCAAGGUUAACCGUAUAGGGGAGCCGGAGGGAAACCGAGUCUUAAUUGGGCGUUAAGUUGCAGGGUAUAGACCCGAAACCCGGUGAUCUAGCCAUGGGCAGGUUGAAGGUUGGGUAACACUAACUGGAGGACCGAACCGACUAAUGUUGAAAAAUUAGCGGAUGACCUGUGGCUGGGGGUGAAAGGCCAAUCAAACCGGGAGAUAGCUGGUUCUCCCCGAAAGCUAUUUAGGUAGCGCCUCGUGAAUUCAUCUCCGGGGGUAGAGCACUGUUUCGGCUAGGGGGCCAUCCCGGCUUACCAACCCGAUGCAAACUGCGAAUACCGGAGAAUGUUAUCACGGGAGACACACGGCGGGUGCUAACGUCCGUCGUGAAGAGGGAAACAACCCAGACCGCCAGCUAAGGUCCCAAAGUCAUGGUUAAGUGGGAAACGAUGUGGGAAGGCCCAGACAGCCAGGAUGUUGGCUUAGAAGCAGCCAUCAUUUAAAGAAAGCGUAAUAGCUCACUGGUCGAGUCGGCCUGCGCGGAAGAUGUAACGGGGCUAAACCAUGCACCGAAGCUGCGGCAGCGACGCUGAUGCGUUGUUGGGUAGGGGAGCGUUCUGUAAGCCUGCGAAGGUGGCCUGUGAGGGUUGCUGGAGGUAUCAGAAGUGCGAAUGCUGACAUAAGUAACGAUAAAGCGGGUGAAAAGCCCGCUCGCCGGAAGACCAAGGGUUCCUGUCCAACGUUAAUCGGGGCAGGGUGAGUCGACCCCUAAGGCGAGGCCGAAAGGCGUAGUCGAUGGGAAACGGGUUAAUAUUCCCGUACUUGGUGUUACUGCGAAGGGGGGACGGAGAAGGCUAUGUUGGCCGGGCGACGGUUGUCCCGGUUUAAGCGUGUAGGUGUGUGUUCCAGGUAAAUCCGGUU
This 910-nucleotide ribosomal RNA is filed under the name Salmonella enterica subsp. enterica serovar Wien. Its description in RNAcentral is "partial 23S ribosomal RNA". It matches the Rfam family "Bacterial large subunit ribosomal RNA", at positions 634 to 1547 of the family's 2925-position model. Lineage: Bacteria; Pseudomonadati; Pseudomonadota; Gammaproteobacteria; Enterobacterales; Enterobacteriaceae. The record is from RNAcentral.